AAAAAACCCAAGCAGCACAAAGAAUGCUAGUACACCUAUACAAUAAUAAAAUGGUAUAGGAUGUUUUGACAGGAUUCGAUCCCAACCAUCACUGAAUGAAUUCCGAAAGGCGCCAUCUUUAUCCAUAAGGUAUGCAAAGCCACCCAUUGCAGCAAUCAUAGUUUGCACAGCCAGAAAUACAAUGAUAACAUCUCUUGUAACAAAAAGUCUGAAUUUAACUUUACGCCAUGAGUUGUCCUCAAAUAAUGCAACUCGAAGAUGAAAUUGGGCCUU
RNAcentral lists this unclassified non-coding RNA (273 nucleotides) under Hevea brasiliensis (rubber tree). Lineage: Eukaryota; Viridiplantae; Streptophyta; Magnoliopsida; Malpighiales; Euphorbiaceae. The record is from RNAcentral.